UAGGGAAUAUUGGGCAAUGGACGGAAGUCUGACCCAGCCAUGCCGCGUGCAGGAUGAAGGCCUUCUGGGUUGUAAACUGCUUUUAUCUGGGAAGAAAACACCUAUGCGUAGGAAACUGACGGUACCAGAUGAAUAAGCACCGGCUAACUCCGUGCCAGCAGCCGCGGUAAUACGGAGGGUGCAAGCGUUGUCCGGAUUUAUUGGGUUUAAAGGGUGCGUAGGCGGCCCGUUAAGUCCGUGGUGAAGGCCUCCAGCUCAACUGGAGAACUGCCAUGGAUACUGGCGGGCUUGAGUACAGACGAGGUUGGCGGAAUUGAUUGUGUAGCGGUGAAAUGCAUAGAUACAAUCAAGAACUCCGAUUGCGUAGGCAGCCAACUAGGCUGUAACUGACGCUGAGGCACGAAAGCGUGGGGAGCGAACAGGAUUAGAUACCCUGGUAGUCCACGCCGUAAACGAUGAUUACUCGAUGUCGCGAUAAACUGUCGGCGUC
RNAcentral lists this ribosomal RNA (490 nucleotides) under uncultured Bacteroidota bacterium. RNAcentral describes it as "bacterial SSU rRNA". It matches the Rfam family "Bacterial small subunit ribosomal RNA", at positions 355 to 847 of the family's 1533-position model. The record is from RNAcentral. Lineage: Bacteria; Pseudomonadati; Bacteroidota.